Molecule: unclassified non-coding RNA, 2994 nt
Filed under: Leishmania donovani
Lineage: Eukaryota; Euglenozoa; Kinetoplastea; Trypanosomatida; Trypanosomatidae
Description: gene:LdHU3.18.2120(CDS-product:gamma-glutamylcyst eine_synthetase_putative)
Source: RNAcentral
CAUCGCCGCUCUCAUCACUCCAGCACGUUUCGACUGCGCGAAUCUUCAUCUUUCACCUUUACGCAAUACAGCACCCCACAGAAUCUGACACUAGUGAAUUUGCUUUUUUUCGUUUGCUUUGCUUUUCACCUAAACGACAGGGACGCUGACAUUUCCUCCUUCCCCACCUCGCCAACUCAUUUGCUGCGCACCUCUGUGUCACUGCAAGCCGUAGCGCUUCUUCCUGCGGAACCCUUCGGUCGAUCUGUCGUUAUUCAUCGCACUGCGCAGCUUGACGGCUUCGGCACUUCCCAGCUGCUUUCGUCCCUCGGCUGCCCAAGCCGCUGUGCGCCAUAACACACCCGUAUACAUUGUCAUACGCACUCCUUCUUCACCUUUACGCGGCCGCACCUUCUCGUCUAACCAACCACGGCAACUACUUUGCUUCUCUAUCUUCGGCCCUUAUUAUUAUUAUCAUCCGCGCAGCGCCUUCACCGCGUCUGUUUUUCGUCACCUCUUCUCCCUGUGUUUUCCCUCGCGCUUUCAAAUUCCCUAAAUCGUGUUUCUCUCUGACCCGCUCUCCGAUACACUCCCGUCCACCCUCCCUGAUUCUCUUUUUUCUUGUGUUUGCAUCUCUUUGCCCGCUCUCCUACUACGCCGUUUCCCUCCCUCGCAGCCACUCGCCGCAGUCCCUCUGCGUGCCUCUCUCUCUCUAUCUCGGCAGUCUUGCUACCCCUUCUUUCCUUCUGACGUCACUAGACGCGCACUCGCAUCCUCGAAGGAGAUCCGCUUGGCAAAUGGGGCUCUUGACGACUGGCGGCGCCCCGAUACAGUGGGGCACCGAUGCAAAUAGAAAGGCCAUUCCGCACGUCAGAGAGCACGGCAUUCAGCAGUUCCUCAACGUUUUCAAGAACAAAAAGGACCUCCAUGGUAUGCCGUUUCUCUGGGGAGAGGAGCUGGAGCACCAGCUAAUCCAGAUCCACGAUAACACGGUUACCCUCAGCACGGAAAGUGCGAUGGUAAUGAACAAGCUGAGGGCGCGUCCUGACAACUGCGCCGUGUGGAACCCCGAAUAUGGAAGCUUCAUGAUCGAAAGCACGCCAGACCACCCGUACAGUCUGUCGGUGGAGAGCCUCGACUCGGUGCAGGACAACAUCGAGCGGCGGUACGACAUGCUCAACAAGGAGGCACCACCUGGCGUGGUCGGCACCACCUUUGUGACUUUCCCACUCAUGGGCCAGGGCAACUUUGUCCACUGCAGUGAUAAGAGUUCUCCGUACUCGCAGUCGCUUUUUGUUCCUGAUGCGUGCAUCAACCAAACGCAUCCGCGCUUCGCGAACCUGACGGCAAACAUUCGCCUGCGUCGCGGUCAAAAGGUUUGCGUCCUGGUGCCUCUGUACAUGGACUCCCGUACAAUGCAGGACACGGUGGACCCCCAACUAAACAUUGACCUGACUCCACACAACAAGGACAUUUUUUACUCCAUGAGAGAAAACGGCAGGAACAUGACCGACGAACUCUACGCGGAGACGGACGCGUCUGCCGCUCUGCUAGUGCCCAGCAGCUCUCUCGAUCCACGCGAGGACUACCCUGUCACCGAGACGCUGAAGCAGCUCUUCACCCCUGCUACGCUCUACUACUACGCACAGUACUUCACGGGACAGCGCCGCGAGCAUAUGCAGGAACGCUACAACGCGUGUAACUGCCCCGUAACCUUGGUCAGCCACCCGUGCAUCUACAUGGACUGCAUGGCCUUUGGCAUGGGUAACAGCGCUCUGCAAGUGACGAUGCAGCUGGACAACAUUCACGAGGCGCGCCACGUGUACGACCAGCUCGCCAUCUUGUGCCCGGCAUUUCUGGCUCUCAGCUCAGCCACGCCGUUCCAAAAGGGUCUUCUUUGCGACACCGAUGUGCGCUGGCUGACUAUCGCCGGCGCUGUCGACGACCGCCGCGUGGAGGAGGUGCCGCGUAUUCUCAAGUCUCGCUACGACUCCAUCUCCGUCUUCAUCAGCGACAGAACCGAAAACCUCGAGGAAUUCAACGAUUCACAAAUAGCGAUAAACCGCUCGUACUGUGAACUUCUGAAGGACUCCGGUGUGGACGUGCGGUUGGCGAACCACAUUGCACAUUUGUUCAUUCGAGAUCCGCUUGUGAUGUACGACAAGAUGAUCGACAUCGAUGACACGACGCACACGGAGCACUUUGACAACAUCCAGUCCACUAACUGGCAGACAGUGCGCUUCAAGCCUCCGCCGAUAGGAAACGACAUUGGCUGGCGCGUUGAGUUCCGCGUGAUGGAUAUUCAGCCAACACCGUUCGAAAACGCCGCCUUCGCCGUCUUCAUUCCGCUUCUCACCAAGGCCAUCAUCACCUACAAGCCCUGCUUUUACACCAAGAUCUCCAUCGUCGACGAGAAUAUGGGCCGCGCACAUCGCAUCAACCCGUGUGGAGAACAAUACAUUAUGCGCAAGGACAUUUUCGCCGACAAGUGCACCGCCAGCGACGAGGAGACGGCGAGGAUGAGCAUUGACGAGAUCUUCAACGGCAAGGAGGGCGGCUUCUAUGGACUCAUCCCCCUCGUGUGCCGCUAUCUAGACGACGAGGGGAAGCGAAGUCCCCUCGUAAACUCCUACCUGAAGUUCCUGUCAAUGCGCGCCUCUGGCCGCAUUCCCACACCUGCGCAGUACAUGCGCAAGUUUGUCACGACACACCCCGACUACAAGCACGACUCACGCCUCACCGACAGCAUCGCGCGUGACCUUGUGCAGCGCAUGCACGGCCUGGCUGCGAAUCAGAUCCACGACGAUGACUACCUUCCCAUGAGCUUUUUCACGGCCGAUACAGUAGAGAGCACCAAGUGAAGUCUUUCUUCUCAUUCCCACGGACUGCAGAACGAAAGCGCCCAAGGCGUAUGCUGCGUUCAGUCCCGCGCAUGUGCGCUAAAGUCGACCCCGCUUUAAGCUAUUUACUGAAGAACCACCCCUCCCCCAAAACAAAAAAUAAAGAAAGCAUUCC